GCCCAAGUGGCGGAAUGGUAGACGCAGCGGAUUCAAAAUCCGCCGGCUUAACGGCCGUGCCGGUUCGAAUCCGGCCUUGGGUA
Molecule: transfer RNA, 83 nt
Filed under: Thalassovita gelatinovora
Lineage: Bacteria; Pseudomonadati; Pseudomonadota; Alphaproteobacteria; Rhodobacterales; Roseobacteraceae
Description: Thalassobius gelatinovorus tRNA
Rfam family: tRNA
About the family: Transfer RNA (tRNA) molecules are approximately 80 nucleotides in length.
Source: Rfam by way of RNAcentral